CAACAGCCUCAUCCACUCCCCUCUCUGGCUGAGCAGGAUGGAGGUCUUCUAGUGGGAAUGUAUACAGGGUGGAUCCACCUAGCAGCUGAACUCAGAUAUUCAGUCGAGCCAGCAGUGGCCCCUGGCUCCCAGUAGCCUCAGCUGCUGCCAGUGGGACACACUGCAGGCCCAACCCAGCUACUGCUCCAGAUACACAUCUACCGUCCAGCGGAUCACACCCUCAGAGCCCCCCAGACCCUACAGUCCCAGACCCCAUAGUCCCGCUGACAGUAGGGGCUUCUCUAGUCCCUACCAUAUCCAGGUCCUCUUGUGGUGUCACCCUUGGAAACACACACCCCUGCCUUGCUCCCAGUCCACAUCACAUACUUGCAGCAAGCUCAGCUUGUCCAAGGCCCUGCUAGUCCUCACACACCCACUUGCACACCCUCACUCACACCAUGGGCACAUGGGCUUCUGAGCCCUGAUCCCUUCCCAGGGGUUGGUGCUUGAUUUCACAGAUGUUGUACCCAGGCACAUGAGCCCUUUGUGCAGAACAUGAAAAAGCAAGUCCACUGAUCACCUACUUUUUAUGCACUGCCUGCUCAGUCCCUUUAUUGUCCCAGGCUUCUUUCUGCUUCAAACCCCAUUGAUCUUUCCUUUAUGCUACCAAGCACAGUGCUAAACCAUAAUGACUUAUAACCAAGGCUAUUUUUCCAACACCCAUGGUUCCACAGGGUGGGACAUGUAUGAGUUGCUCAGAUGAAGACAACAAUUUAGGGCAAAGCUCUGGUCUGUCUGUCAUCGCACCAUCGUGAGUAGGUGCAGCAGUUGCACGAGAUGAGAGGGUGCUGCUAGGAUGAUAAGUGAGGAAUCUUCAAAGAAACAACUGGACAUGGAAUCUAGAAGUUUGGAUACCAGAGACGGUGGAUGAAGGUUCCAAAAGACAUAAUUUUGAAAGGCCAGAAAAAAGGUGCUGGAAAGAUGCUGUACAUCCCACCAAGAGGUUGGAAAGUAGUGUCUGAGUGUUUCCUGCUUGCUGAGUUUCCAGAAAUUAAUGUUGACGUAUUGUGUUUCUAAUAGUUAGGCUACUUAAAGCUUUGAAUAAGUGUUUAUUUUUAUUUAUGUUAAGAAGAUAUAUCUUAAAUUCUAGUUAUAAGAGCAAUUUAUAAUGCCAUUGAUUCUUAAGUAUUUGCAUUGAGAUUUAGAUGAAUUCUAAUAGUUGAAGAAUAAAGUGACAUAUAAGUUUCAUAGCUUGUACUGCAUUAUAAUUGCUGUAUGGAAAAAAAAAAGGAGUAUUUUUUAUUUGCAUUUCCC
Passer domesticus (house sparrow) is the source of this 1293-nucleotide long non-coding RNA. RefSeq lists it as uncharacterized. The record is from RefSeq and is a predicted model, not a curated record. NCBI's taxonomy places the organism in Eukaryota, Metazoa, Chordata, Aves, Passeriformes, Passeridae. The transcript has 3 exons.